ACACCACAACCCUUAAGGAAAAAACAAAAGUGUGUCUGUGGUAUUGAAGUAUUUAUCUGGUUUAGUGAACUAGCUAAGUGUGUGUGUUCAUUACUGUAAUAUGUCACUGCUGUCAGUCUGUACAAACUGAGUCAUUAACCUUUUCUCCACCUGUUGAUCUAGUUCAAAUUAACUCUGUGUGUGUGUGUGUGUGUGUGUGUGUGUGUGUGUGUGUGUGUGUGUGUGUGCGCGUCUCGAGAGCAUCAGUCCAGCUGAUUAACACACCGCCAAUCAAUUCUCCUGCAGCGUCUGCGCAGACGGACGGGGGUCGGGUUCAGCCGUCCAAUCAGAGCACGGCUGCCGCACGACAUCAUAUCUCAAGGUGACGGUGACCUCUGACCUUUGCCGAUGCUGCGGUGCCUGUCAUUUGUUUCUCACUCCCUCCCCCCCAAAGCAUCUUACAGUCGGCAAACACGACCGAUCGAUCGCGCCGCUCUCCUUCACUCCAUCUCUCCCUCGUUUCUGACCCUUUUUAUCUUCUUCAGGUGCCGUCGGUUCAUUUUUCAUGGGACGAUGCUGCGGUCGUCAUGGCGACAGCACUGAUGCUGAGGGCCUGCGAUGACGGAUGCUCUGCUGCUUAGGACGGAUACGGCUGUGUUCAUGAGUGUGAAGAUCACACAUGUGUCAUUCCCGAGGAAGAAUGAUGCCUCGCCUUCGGCCACAAGAUCUUGCACCUGAAAGAUAUAAAACCGCACCCAGCGUCUCACACUCGUGACUCACCGUUUCCCGCCUCCCUCGACAAGACAGAAAUUACCCUCAAACUGAUUCUACGAUCAAUAACAACAUGCCCACCAAUCAAGAGCGCCGACCCGGGGUUAAGAUCCAAUCAGCAGCUCACACUCCUCCUGCUUCAAGAGUCUGAGCAGACGCAAACAAACAAGACGUUUACAGGUCUGAGGAGAGACACACAAACCAGACGUUAUUCAUAGAAACACGAACAAAGAUUUGAAAUAAAUAUGAUUCUGAGAUGUAUUCUUUGUUAUGAUUUUAUUUACUUAUCUAUUUAUUGCAAAUAUAUAUGCUAAGAAAUGUACAUAAAUUAGAUAUAAAAAUAGAUGUAUGGAAGAACAGUGGAAAAUAGAUCAUAGGUGAACAGUGAAGCCUAUUUAUAAAUAUCCACUAGAGAAUGACUGCUUAUGCUAUUAAUAACACUGAUGCAAUGGUGUGAUUUACAGCAGUGAGAAUGAGGCCGUAAACACGAGAUCCCACCGUCAGAAAUGAAAGUGAAUGUCUCUAACUGCCCGUGUGCAAAAGGUCACGCUUGUUCCCGUGGAGACGGGCCUUUAGAAUGCAGCUGUCAAUCAUAGCUGUUGCUACUGGAGACAGACGAGAGAAAUAGAUCUGAAAACAGAAGAAAGGCACACUAGAGUGAGUCCAGUUUGGACCGUGGUUGUUUUUCACUGCAUUUAAAGCAGUAAGCCUCCUUUACUAAAGUAAAAUCACCAACACAUGGCCUCAAAAAUAAUGGUCACAUGGCCUUUCAUAAAAAUUUCACACAAUCAUAUAUGCUUUAAAA
Cyprinus carpio (common carp) is the source of this 1555-nucleotide long non-coding RNA. RefSeq lists it as uncharacterized. NCBI's taxonomy places the organism in Eukaryota, Metazoa, Chordata, Actinopteri, Cypriniformes, Cyprinidae. The transcript is spliced from 3 exons. The record is from RefSeq and is a predicted model, not a curated record.